UCCGAAUGGAUGCAUUUUCCCAGGCAUAUCACUUUUGUAUUUCAGCUCCUUGCCGUUCAAUCCAACACAUAAAAAUUUAUUCCACGACAACUUCUUUACCUCUUCAGGGAUAAUAAAUUCAACUUCCGGUAUUAUGGCGAUUUCCAAACCAAGGUGCGGUUGUUGAUUGAUUUCUUCCACAAUUUGAUAUCCAAUUCCUGGGUCAGGUGGUAUUCCAACAAAAUUAAAUUUUGGAAUUAAGUCUUCGUUGACUUGCAAAAGAGAAAUAUCAAAAGUAGGGAGGGAAAUUUAGUUUUCUCCGAUGCUUCCUCAACUCCAUGCUUAUUUUCAUCCAAGCUCACUUCCUUCACCUCCGAAGACCCUACUUCAUUUUCCACUUCCAAUUUAACCACUUCUUCAUCCUCAUUUUUACUCUCAAUCUCCUUUUUAUUUUCUCGAGGCUUCUCCCUAAAUUCUCGCUCACGCCGAUUACUCCUAUAAUAAUUUGGAGCAUAUCGUCUCCUCAUAAUAUGCCUCAACUCAUUCCAAAUUUCAAUACGCCUCUCUCCAUUCCUCCGCCUAGAUUUUGUCGACUGAUCGUACCAAGUAGUUGCAUAACCCACAAAAGUGUACAUAACUAACUUUACUUUUCUCUCCCCGGAGUAGUCAUGGCAAUCAAACACUAAUUCUACCCGUUCUUCCCAAGUCAAGUAUGCCUCGGGAUCGUCCCUACCCUUAAAUCACGGAAGUGAUAAUUUGCCAUUUUCCACAUUCCUACCAACACCGUAUCCAACACAAUUUAUAUCCCGUUCACCAAGCCUAUCACAUCUAUUUUUCAUUCCCCGCAAAUCGACAUCAACCAAUGCAUCCCCUCUACUACAAUUGUCAUAUGCAUCACAAAUUUUUGUCAUAGGUUCCCGUCUCCUCACAUCGAACCUCUCAUCACAUUCAUCCCAAUGAAUAUUUUUCAACUUCAUAUCCAGUCUGUCUAAUUUAUUUCCCAACCUAUUCUCCAUAUCCAUCAACAUUUUCUCCAAUCGCCGCAUCACCGUUUCAGACAUAAUUCAAUUGGGUUGUGGGUGAAACUCGUGAAUUUUCAAAGACUCAAGAAUUGGAUAGAAAAUUUGGAAUGAAUUAUGAAAAUUCAAGAAGUGGUCUUGAAUUUCUGACCGACUGGACUAGACAAUUUGAAACUUUAAUAUGAAUUCAAGAAAGUGGUUCUUGAAUUGGAAUUCGACACAAUAAUAACUUUUUUGUUUUUUUGUAACUCAAUUUUUUUUGGAACAGUAACUCGGAUAAACAGAAUUUUUUUUAAAUGACGUGAACAGUAACUCGGAACAGUGAUUCUGCCUUUUCUAACAUCCUAACACUAAAAAUUUUAUUUUACUGCCUCACCAAAAAUCACUCAGAAACACACAAGGGCUUUUACCCUCUAUUAAGCUCACCUCUCUGCCUUUUACCACUCAAUUCUUUCAACAAUUGCUUCUAGGAACAAUCAAUGAGCUCAAUCAAUCAAUCAAAUCAUGUAGAAUUCCCCAAACCGGAUGUGACUCAAUAAUUGUAACAAAGGACUCAAAGAAAACUUUUAAAACUUGACUUGAAUUGAAGGAAUGGAAUGAUUCAAUGUGUCCAAGUAAUUUAGAAAUGAUAUUGAAUAAUAAAAGUUGGUAUUUGACGGAUCACUAAUAUUUAACAAUUUUUU
This 1681-nucleotide long non-coding RNA is filed under the name Olea europaea subsp. europaea. The record is from RNAcentral. Lineage: Eukaryota; Viridiplantae; Streptophyta; Magnoliopsida; Lamiales; Oleaceae.